CUAUGGUUUGCAAAUAAAAACCAUGGCGGAAGGAG
This 35-nucleotide non-coding RNA is filed under the name unclassified sequences. RNAcentral describes it as "L31-Firmicutes ribosomal protein leader". It matches the Rfam family "L31-Firmicutes ribosomal protein leader". The record is from RNAcentral.